Molecule: ribosomal RNA, 771 nt
Filed under: uncultured bacterium
Lineage: Bacteria
Description: bacterial SSU rRNA
Rfam family: Bacterial small subunit ribosomal RNA
Source: RNAcentral
GGGGGCUUGCUCCCGGGUUAGUGGCGAACGGGUGAGUAAUAUAUCGGAACAUAUCCGGAAGUGGGGGAUAACGUAGCGAAAGUUACGCUAAUACCGCAUAUGCCCUGAGGGGGAAAGGGGGGGAUCGCAAGACCUCUCGCUUUCGGAGUGGCCGAUACCGGAUUAGCUAGAUGGUGAGGUAAAGGCUCACCAUGGCGACGAUCCGUAGCUGGUCUGAGAGGACGACCAGCCACACUGGAACUGAGACACGGUCCAGACUCCUACGGGAGGCAGCAGUGGGGAAUUUUGGACAAUGGGCGAAAGCCUGAUCCAGCCAUACCGCGUGAGUGAAGAAGGCCUUCGGGUUGUAAAGCUCUUUCAGCCGGAAAGAAAUCGCACUUUUUAAUACGGAGUGUGGAUGACGGUACCGGAAGAAGAAGCACCGGCUAACUACGUGCCAGCAGCCGCGGUAAUACGUAGGGUGCGAGCGUUAAUCGGAAUUACUGGGCGUAAAGCGUGCGCAGGCGGUUUGAUAAGCCAGAUGUGAAAUCCCCGGGCUUAACCUGGGAACUGCAUUUGGAACUGUCAGACUAGAGUGUAGCAGAGGGGGGUAGAAUUCCACGUGUACAUUGAAAUGCGUAAAUAUGUGGAAGGAAUACCAAUGGCGAAAGCAGCCCCCUUGGUUAAACACUGACGCUCAUGCACGAAAGCGUGGGGAGUCAAACAAGAUUAUAUACCCCUGGUAGUCACGCCCUAAACCAAUGUCAACUAGUUUGUUUGGGGGGAGAGAUC